GUAGGUGGCAAGCGUUGUCCGGAAUUAUUGGGCGUAAAGCGCGCGCAGGCGGUUCUUUAAGUCUGAUGUGAAAGCCCACGGGCUCAACCGUGGAGGGUCAUUGGGAACUGGAGAACUUGAGUACAGAAGAGGAAAGCGGAAUUCCACGUGUAGCGGUGAAAUGCGUAGAGAUGUGGAGGAACACCAGUGGCGAAGGCGGCUUUCUGGUCUGUAACUGACGCUGAGGCGCGAAAGCGUGGGGAGCAAACAGGAUUAGAUACCCUGGUAGUCCACGCCGUAAACGAUGAGUGCUAAGUGUUAGGGGGUUUCCGCCCCUUAGUGCUGCAGCUAACGCAUUAAGCACUCCGCCUGGGGAGUACGGCCGCAAGGCUG
RNAcentral lists this ribosomal RNA (372 nucleotides) under uncultured organism. RNAcentral describes it as "partial 16S ribosomal RNA". It matches the Rfam family "Bacterial small subunit ribosomal RNA", at positions 527 to 896 of the family's 1533-position model. The record is from RNAcentral.